UACAGCAUAGCUGCAAGGGAGUGCUUCGCGCGCGGGCUACAAACGUUU
The submitters of this non-coding RNA (48 nucleotides) gave its source as unclassified sequences. The record is from Rfam.